This 467-nucleotide ribosomal RNA is filed under the name uncultured bacterium. Its description in RNAcentral is "partial 16S ribosomal RNA". It matches the Rfam family "Bacterial small subunit ribosomal RNA", at positions 28 to 507 of the family's 1533-position model. The record is from RNAcentral.
GAUGAACGCUGGCGGCGUGCUUAACACAUGCAAGUCGAACGGAAAGGCCCAAGCUUGCUUGGGUACUCGAGUGGCGAACGGGUGAGUAACACGUGGGUGAUCUGCCCUGCACUUCGGGAUAAGCCUGGGAAACUGGGUCUAAUACCGGAUAGGACCACUUCUUGGAUGUUGUGGUGGAAAGUUUUUUCGGUGUGGGAUGAGCUCGCGGCCUAUCAGCUUGUUGGUGGGGUAAUGGCCCACCAAGGCGUCGACGGGUAGCCGGCCUGAGAGGGUGUACGGCCACAUUGGGACUGAGAUACGGCCCAGACUCCUACGGGAGGCAGCAGUGGGGAAUAUUGCACAAUGGGCGCAAGCCUGAUGCAGCGACGCCGCGUGGGGGAUGACGGCCUUCGGGUUGUAAACUCCUUUCGCUAAGGACGAAGCGUUUUGUGACGGUACCUGGAGAAGAAGCACCGGCUAACUACGUG